GACGAACGCUGGCGGCGUGCUUAACACAUGCAAGUCGAGCGAUGAAAGCCUUAUGAACUAUUCGUAGUGAUUGAGGCCGGAUUAGCGGCGGACGGGUGAGUAACGCGUGAGCAACCUGCCUUAAACAACGGGAUAGCCUCGGGAAACCGGGAUUAAUACCGUAUGAGACCCCGCCUUCACGGGAAGAAGAGGCUAAAGAUUUAUCGGUUUAAGAUGGGCUCGCGUCUGAUUAGCUAGUUGGUGAGAUAAAGGCCCACCAAGGCAACGAUCAGUAACCGGCUUGAGAGAGUGAACGGUCACAUUGGAACUGAGACACGGUCCAAACUCCUACGGGAGGCAGCAGUGGGGAAUAUUGCACAAUGGGGGAAACCCUGAUGCAGCGACGCCGCGUGAGCGAUGAAGGAAUUCGUUUCGUAAAGCUCUGUCCAAGGGGAAGAUAAUGACAGUACCCUUGGAGGAAGCCCCGGCUAAAUACGUGCCAGCAGCCGCAGUAA
RNAcentral lists this ribosomal RNA (494 nucleotides) under uncultured bacterium. RNAcentral describes it as "partial 16S ribosomal RNA". It matches the Rfam family "Bacterial small subunit ribosomal RNA", at positions 28 to 523 of the family's 1533-position model. The record is from RNAcentral.